GCCGAGAUAGCUCAGUCGGUAGAGCAGGGGACUGAAAAUC
Molecule: transfer RNA, 40 nt
Filed under: Arthropteris palisotii
Lineage: Eukaryota; Viridiplantae; Streptophyta; Polypodiopsida; Polypodiales; Tectariaceae
Also listed under: 1 other name
Description: partial tRNA-Phe
Rfam family: tRNA
About the family: Transfer RNA (tRNA) molecules are approximately 80 nucleotides in length. Their secondary structure includes four short double-helical elements and three loops (D, anti-codon, and T loops).
Source: RNAcentral